AUAUCAGAAGAAGGGGGCGUGGCAUCGAGCGGAGUCCUUCGGAUUCUUUUCCCAUAUGGGUUAUUACAGAAUAUUGAGGACAGUUCCCUGUUCUAUACAGUAAGUCCUUGUUGAUUAUCUAUUUUAUAUAGAGUAGUGUGUAUAUGUUAAUCCCCAGCUCCUAAUUUAUCCCCCCCCAACACAUUUCCCAUUUUGGUAACCAUAAGUUUGUUUUCAAAGUCUGUGAGUCUGUUUAUGUUUUGUAAAUAAGUUCACUUGUAUCUUUUUUUUUUAGAUUCCACAUAUAAGUAAUAUCAUAUGGUAUUUGUCUUCCUCUAACUCACUUCACUCAGUAUUAUAAUCUCUGUAAUCUCAUUUGUUGCUGCAAAUGGCAUUAUUUCGUUAUUUUUUAUGGCUAAGUAGUAUUCCAUUGUAUAUAUGCACCAUAUCUUCUUUAUCCAUUCCUCUGUUGAUGGACAUUUAGAUUGCUUCCAUGUCUUGACUAUUGUAAACUGUGCUGCAAUGAAAAAUGCAACUGAUUUUUGUGGGAUAAUUUUGAACUCUGUAACUUUGCUAAAUUUUUUAGUUCUAACAGUUUUUUAGUUUUCAUUUUUAUAUUUGGCUGCACCCAAGGCAUGAGGAAGUUCCUAGGCCAGGAAUCAAAUCUAUGCCACAGCACUCACGGCAACACCGGAUCGUUAACCCACUGAGCAAGGGCAGGGAUCGAACCUGCAACCUCAUGGUUCCUAGUCAGAUUCGUUAACCACUGCGCCACGACAGGAACUCCAACUUUUCAACCUGUAAAACAAAAACCCUAUAUCCGUUAAGCAACAAUUCUCCUUUUCCCCUCCUCUAGGCUGGUAACCACCCAUCUACUUUUUGUUUCUAUGAAUUUGACUAUUUAAAAUAGCUUAUGUAGGAGUUCCCUCUGUGGUACAGUGGGUUAAGGAUCUGGUUUUGCCACAGCUAUGGCUUAGGACAUAGCUGCUACUCAUAUUUAAUCCUUGGCCUAGGAGAAAAUAGCUUUUAUAAUUGGAGUCAUACCCCAUAUCUUUUUGUGACUCAAAUUCAUUUACAAUAUGUCAUUUGAAUACAGUUUUGUUACUUUAUUAUUAUUAUUAUUAUUAUUUGGCCAUACCCACAGCAUGUGGAAAUUCCUGGGCCGGGAUUGAACCCACACUGUGGUUCAGGUCACAACUGCACUUUCAACCUGCACCACAGCUGCAGCAACACCAGAUCCUUAACCUGCUGCACCUCAAGGGAACUUCGCAUUUGAUAUACAGUUUUUAACUCAUUGAUUUUAAUUGUCCUCUUGGACAAUUUGUAGUUCCCACAUAUGUUUGGGCUAAUUUCUAGACUUGUCUCAUUGAUCUGUCUGCCUAUUUCUACGCAUGUACACAUUUGUCUUCAUUAUUGUAGCUUUCUGUUGCCUGCUGUUCUCACAUGUUUAUGCUUCCAAAUAAACUCCAGAAGUAUUUUAUUAAGUGUUCUACAAAAAUCCUUUUGGGAUUUUUUUUAUUGUUACUGCAUUAAAUAAAUAGAUCAAUUUUGAGAGGAUUGGCAUCACUACAAGAUUGACUCUUCCGUUUACAUUUAAUAAGACUUCACUCUAGCACACAAGAAAUUCACAAGAGUCCCGCUUUUCUUUUCCUCCCAUCUUUACCCACCCUCCCACUGAACGGACUAGGACCCGGUCCCUGAACACACUAUACAUUCUUCUGUCCCUCUUCUUUGCUCAGGCUGGUGUUUCUUCCUGAAAUGUCCUUCUCUCCUUCCCACAAUUUCUGCUGGUCCAUAUCCUACAUGUAUUUUAUAUCCCAUCGCAAAAUGCCUCUUUACCCUGAUUCCUCCAGCCAGAUGUGACUUCUCCCUCCUUUUAAACUCCAUAGCACUUGGUUUGCCACUUUAUUAAGUACUUGCCUCAAUUUGUCCGGUUAUAGCUCUUUCUGUGCUUUUCUUAUUGGUCCAUAAUUAACAAUUUUGUGUUAGAGCCACAGGUCUCAACUAGGAGUGCACAUCAGAAUCCAGGGAAAGUUUUUUUUUUUUUUUUUUGCUUUUUAGUGCUGCACUCACAUAUGGAAGUUCCUAGGCUAGGGGUUGAAUCAGAGCAAGGGCUGCUGCCCUAUACCACAACCACAGUAACACAGGAUCUGAGCUGUGUCUUCGACCUACACCACAGCUCACGGCAACGCCAGAUCCUUAACCCACUGAGCCAGGCCAGGGAUUGAAUCCGCAUCCUCAUGGAUACUAGUUGGAUUCAUUUCCGCUGUGCCACAAUGGGAAAUCCCAGGGAAAGCUUUUUUUUAAAUCCACAUGUUUUGGUCUCACUCUAGGAAAUUCUGACCUCAGGUAGGACUCUGACAUGGGUAUAUUGCAUGCGUAUUCUUUUUUUUUUUUUCUUUUGCCAUACCCACAGUAUGGGGAUGUUCCCUGUGCCAGUGACAAUGCUGGAUCCUUAACCCACUGUACCAUAAGGGAACUUCCUUACAUAGGUAUUCCUAAAAAUCUCCACAGGUAUCCUGUGAGCCUAUGGUUGAGAAUCACUGUUUUCAGGUAAACCUCAUAAACUCCUAAAUAUCUUAUAUGUAUGUAUAUACUGCCAAUGUCUUGAGUGUGGGCUUCCUGAGUAGAAAACCUAUCUAUGUCUCGGGAGUUCCUGUCAUGGCGCAGUGGUUAACGAAUCCGACUAGGAACCAUGAGGUUGUGGUUUCAAUCCCUGGCCUUGCUCAGUGGGUUAACGAUCUGGCGUUCCCCUGAGCUAUGGUGUAGGUUGCCGAUGCGGCUGGGAUCCCACAUUGCUCUAUGGCUCUGGCGUAGGCCGGUGGCUACAGCUCCGAUUCAACCCCUAGCCUGGGAACCUCCAUAUGCCACAGGAGCGGCCCUAGAAAAGGCAAAAAGACAAAAAGACAAAAAAAAAAAAAAAAAAAAAAAAA
This 2912-nucleotide long non-coding RNA is filed under the name Sus scrofa (pig). Its description in RNAcentral is "lncRNA (ENSSSCG00035054393.1)". Lineage: Eukaryota; Metazoa; Chordata; Mammalia; Artiodactyla; Suidae. The record is from RNAcentral.